UAAAUGAGAUAUUUUUUGGUGGUAGUGCUCAAUAAAUAAUUUAGAAUUAAGUAGUUAUGACUGUUAGACCACACAGUUGCUGAGUCAAAACUGUAUGUUAGCAUGACAAUAUUUCUAAUGAAAUGCACAGUGAAUGUAUUUCAAUUAUCUCAGUAAAGAAUCAAGAACUUGGAGCAGUUUAAUAAAUAUCAUUUACAUUAUUAAGCUAAUGUCUGCAAAUAGACUCUUCCUACAUAAAAUCAUGACACAAACAUUUUUAAAUAGAUAGUUUAUGUUCUAGAACAGUGGGGUUGCCAAAGGGGGUCUGAGAGGAAUUACAGGAGUUCAAUGAUAGUCAAGGGGUCGAAUGGGGGUUGGCGUGCGAAAGACCAGCUCACCCAUGCCCAUCCCUCAUAUUUAUGUUGUCAGUUUCAAUAAAAGAUAUUCCAGCAAUAUGAUGUGUUUUCCACAUUUUCUAACCAUGGAAACAACUUCAUAAAAACUGAAAGUUUAAUACUGUAUACACGUAGUUUUAAAUGUAAAAUGUGUGUCAUCUUCAAUAGAAUUUCUUAAUUUCUCGCACAUUUAUAUUUUAGCUAAUGUUUUAAUUGCCAGCAUCAGUACCCAGUAUGCAUUUAAGAUAUGGUACGGUAGGGUAGGGUAUUAAGAUAUUUUAAAUGAGGCAGGUGGUCGAUGCAGAAGGUGAGGUGGCUAAAGGGGGGUCGAUAUGGAAGGAGAAGUGGUUAAAGGGAGUCGAUGGUUGAAAAAGUUUGGUGACCCUUGUUCUAGAACCUGGUCUCAGGUAGGUUGAUAUGGAAAAGGUUUAGAACAUAAAAAAUUUAUCACCUCUGUAAAGUAACUGACUUACAAAGCACACACAUUCCACUUCACACUACGAUAUUGUUCACAUUCCUGGGACAGACAAUUGCUAUAUACAUGAACAUUCUAGACAACAUUAAAAGUCAAAGAAGUCAUGUGAUUGACAAAUCUUCACAUACUACUGCACCACAGCCAUGGUACUAGACUGCCUCUUGUGUUUUUUCUUAAUAUGACAAUAAUUUUUUUGGUCUAAGCUGGCAAACUGUAAGAUCAGACCUACUUACCUUUCUUCUUCUAAUUACUCUAAUUAUUUCACCUGGCAAAAGUCUGUACCAAGCACUUCACGCAAACCAUUAUAAACCUGUGGAUCUCUCUCCUGUUUUCUCUACUGAUAUGACCCCACAAAAAUAUUAACUGAAUGUCAACUUCAACAUUACCAGUCAAGGGCACUUUCAAGAGUCAGUGUACCUUUUCCUUUACUCAAACAAAAAUGUUCAUCUUAAACAAAAAAAAAAAAAAAAAAGGCAAAGUCAGGGGAUGCCUAAAAAACCACUUAUACCAGCAAUGGGAAAAA
This is a long non-coding RNA of Octopus sinensis (East Asian common octopus), 1372 nucleotides long. RefSeq lists it as uncharacterized. NCBI's taxonomy places the organism in Eukaryota, Metazoa, Mollusca, Cephalopoda, Octopoda, Octopodidae. The transcript has 2 exons. The record is from RefSeq and is a predicted model, not a curated record.